This 545-nucleotide ribosomal RNA is filed under the name Aspergillus niger. RNAcentral's name for it is "eukaryotic LSU rRNA". The stretch from base 171 to 324 matches the Rfam family "5.8S ribosomal RNA". Lineage: Eukaryota; Fungi; Ascomycota; Eurotiomycetes; Eurotiales; Aspergillaceae. The record is from RNAcentral.
UGGGCCCAACCUCCCAUCCGUGUCUAUUGUACCCUGUUGCUUCGGCGGGCCCGCCGCUUGUCGGCCGCCGGGGGGGCGCCUCUGCCCCCCGGGCCCGUGCCCGCCGGAGACCCCAACACGAACACUGUCUGAAAGCGUGCAGUCUGAGUUGAUUGAAUGCAAUCAGUUAAAACUUUCAACAAUGGAUCUCUUGGUUCCGGCAUCGAUGAAGAACGCAGCGAAAUGCGAUAACUAAUGUGAAUUGCAGAAUUCAGUGAAUCAUCGAGUCUUUGAACGCACAUUGCGCCCCCUGGUAUUCCGGGGGGCAUGCCUGUCCGAGCGUCAUUGCUGCCCUCAAGCCCGGCUUGUGUGUUGGGUCGCCGUCCCCCUCUCCGGGGGGACGGGCCCGAAAGGCAGCGGCGGCACCGCGUCCGAUCCUCGAGCGUAUGGGGCUUUGUCACAUGCUCUGUAGGAUUGGCCGGCGCCUGCCGACGUUUUCCAACCAUUCUUUCCAGGUUGACCUCGGAUCAGGUAGGGGCAGCCGCUCGCCUUAAGCAUAUCAAAAG